This 1553-nucleotide ribosomal RNA is filed under the name Staphylococcus aureus. Its description in RNAcentral is "16S ribosomal RNA". It matches the Rfam family "Bacterial small subunit ribosomal RNA". Lineage: Bacteria; Bacillati; Bacillota; Bacilli; Caryophanales; Staphylococcaceae. The record is from RNAcentral.
UUUAUGGAGAGUUUGAUCCUGGCUCAGGAUGAACGCUGGCGGCGUGCCUAAUACAUGCAAGUCGAGCGAACGGACGAGAAGCUUGCUUCUCUGAUGUUAGCGGCGGACGGGUGAGUAACACGUGGAUAACCUACCUAUAAGACUGGGAUAACUUCGGGAAACCGGAGCUAAUACCGGAUAAUAUUUUGAACCGCAUGGUUCAAAAGUGAAAGACGGUCUUGCUGUCACUUAUAGAUGGAUCCGCGCUGCAUUAGCUAGUUGGUAAGGUAACGGCUUACCAAGGCAACGAUGCAUAGCCGACCUGAGAGGGUGAUCGGCCACACUGGAACUGAGACACGGUCCAGACUCCUACGGGAGGCAGCAGUAGGGAAUCUUCCGCAAUGGGCGAAAGCCUGACGGAGCAACGCCGCGUGAGUGAUGAAGGUCUUCGGAUCGUAAAACUCUGUUAUUAGGGAAGAACAUAUGUGUAAGUAACUGUGCACAUCUUGACGGUACCUAAUCAGAAAGCCACGGCUAACUACGUGCCAGCAGCCGCGGUAAUACGUAGGUGGCAAGCGUUAUCCGGAAUUAUUGGGCGUAAAGCGCGCGUAGGCGGUUUUUUAAGUCUGAUGUGAAAGCCCACGGCUCAACCGUGGAGGGUCAUUGGAAACUGGAAAACUUGAGUGCAGAAGAGGAAAGUGGAAUUCCAUGUGUAGCGGUGAAAUGCGCAGAGAUAUGGAGGAACACCAGUGGCGAAGGCGACUUUCUGGUCUGUAACUGACGCUGAUGUGCGAAAGCGUGGGGAUCAAACAGGAUUAGAUACCCUGGUAGUCCACGCCGUAAACGAUGAGUGCUAAGUGUUAGGGGUUUCCGCCCCUUAGUGCUGCAGCUAACGCAUUAAGCACUCCGCCUGGGGAGUACGACCGCAAGGUUGAAACUCAAAGGAAUUGACGGGGACCCGCACAAGCGGUGGAGCAUGUGGUUUAAUUCGAAGCAACGCGAAGAACCUUACCAAAUCUUGACAUCCUUUGACAACUCUAGAGAUAGAGCCUUCCCCUUCGGGGGACAAAGUGACAGGUGGUGCAUGGUUGUCGUCAGCUCGUGUCGUGAGAUGUUGGGUUAAGUCCCGCAACGAGCGCAACCCUUAAGCUUAGUUGCCAUCAUUAAGUUGGGCACUCUAAGUUGACUGCCGGUGACAAACCGGAGGAAGGUGGGGAUGACGUCAAAUCAUCAUGCCCCUUAUGAUUUGGGCUACACACGUGCUACAAUGGACAAUACAAAGGGCAGCGAAACCGCGAGGUCAAGCAAAUCCCAUAAAGUUGUUCUCAGUUCGGAUUGUAGUCUGCAACUCGACUACAUGAAGCUGGAAUCGCUAGUAAUCGUAGAUCAGCAUGCUACGGUGAAUACGUUCCCGGGUCUUGUACACACCGCCCGUCACACCACGAGAGUUUGUAACACCCGAAGCCGGUGGAGUAACCUUUUAGGAGCUAGCCGUCGAAGGUGGGACAAAUGAUUGGGGUGAAGUCGUAACAAGGUAGCCGUAUCGGAAGGUGCGGCUGGAUCACCUCCUUUCU